RNAcentral lists this long non-coding RNA (492 nucleotides) under Mus spicilegus (steppe mouse). Its description in RNAcentral is "lncRNA (ENSMSIG00000016069.1)". Lineage: Eukaryota; Metazoa; Chordata; Mammalia; Rodentia; Muridae. The record is from RNAcentral.
CUCAUCAUUUUCUCAAGGAACGAAUUACAAAAAUAAUAAUCCUACUACCUUCCCUCUACUGCCCUAAUUUAAGCAAGAUUUGAAGUUUUUUCUUAAGCUCUCUGUUUCUACUAAGUUGGAAGAUUUGUGUCUUUUACUUCUCUCCUUUCCCUUUCCUAGAUGAAGUCUGCACAACACCAAUAUGACAAAGAGACAGUGUGACAAAGAGACACAAGACAGCUUGGAAGACGGUGGCCACUUCUCAUGGAAAAGAGUUUGCUUCAUUGUCUCAUAUGUCAGGAUGAAACAAGCCAACAGAACCUGAAAGUUCCACCACUCCAUGAGCUGUUGGUUAUUAAAAGCUGUCCUUAUGAUACUACUGCACUGAGAUGAAGGAUGCUGGGCUCUUCUGUGGAGAUGCUGUUAUUGCUGCUAUGGGACCUCCCUUUACUAAAAUGUCAUUUGAGGUAAUGUAUUACUCCCCCAGUAGCUACACAGCAGAAAAGAAGCUUG